GAAAUAGCGUUGUGAAAAAUAAACUGCAGCCCGGCUGAAUGCGAGUCAGAAAGAAGGGCAGGAAAGGCCAGCCAGAAAGCACAGCACAGCUUGUGUGGAGACCUGAAGGAGAUGGUCUGAGUACUUAUCAAUGCCUGCAGGUAUGUGGCAGGGAAGAUUAGGAGCCUAUGUGGCAGAAGAGAUGAGGAGGAGCCUUCUAGCUGCACAGCCCAGCCAGCUGACCACAACCAGAGCCAAAAUGUAAAUACAGUGACAUCAGAAGGCCCGCGAGUGACAGACUCAGUCACCAGGAAUAAUGGUCUCAUCCUUGAACAGCCCUGUGGAUCCUGAGGGUAGCUGGCCUUGUGUUCUUCCUUGGCAGCCCUAGAGCCACCAUUUUCACUGACCAUGCCUUGCUCCUGUUCCCCCAGGGAUUAGAAAUGUUUCACCCACAAAUCCACCCAGCAUCACCUUUGUACAAUGAUACAUGUUGUCCUUCUUCACCUCUUGCUGCCAGGACUUCCCUGCAUGGAACAUGAAUUAAAACACCUGAGCAGCAGCUGCAGCUCCUGGCUGUCAGGGGCUUGCUCCAUGCCCUUUAUGUCCCAUGUUUGGGCCAGACAGCACAAUAGAAAAGUGUUUUUCUGUAGUGUGUAGAGCCAAAUUCUGUUUCCAUUUAUGUUAGUGUUAAUCCAGCAUUGCUUCCCUGCCUGUCAGGUGUUAUAGUUUCCUUGACUGCAGUGGAGCUAUGCCAAUUUACAACCAAGACUGGCCCAACAGAAAUCCCCCCAAUUCUGGUAGUGCUUUGAACACAGCCAGACUCUCCCUUCCACAGAUGAAAGUGGUGACCUUGCUACCCAGGUUCAACACUAGACCAUGCAAAGUAGGCAUUGGAGGGCCCAGCUCUUGAUAUGUGGUGAGCAAAUUUCCUUUCUUAUGAGAAACUCUUCCUGUAUUGUCACAGUGAGCAAUGAAGACAGCUUCACAAACUCCCAUUGUGUGGAGAUGAAUGUGUCCGAAUCCUUCCUGUGAUGCACACCCAGAAUUCAAACAGAAAUAAAGACUAAAAUCAAAACUGAAAAAA
This is a long non-coding RNA of Gavialis gangeticus (Gharial), 1063 nucleotides long. RefSeq lists it as uncharacterized. The transcript has 3 exons. NCBI's taxonomy places the organism in Eukaryota, Metazoa, Chordata, Crocodylia, Gavialidae. The record is from RefSeq and is a predicted model, not a curated record.